UGUUGUGUUUAGAGUGUUGUAAUUACAGAAUCAAAUUUUAUACUUCCUAAUGUCUGUUAAUGUAUCUGUAUAAUCGUGAAAAAGCUAUGUAUAUCAAACAUUUUGAAUACCAAUGUUUUAGCAAGCAGAACAAGAAAAUGAGCAAUGGAGAAAACAAGAAUUAGCUGCAAAAGAAGCAGAGGAAAACCCUCCAGCAUAUGUAAGAAAAAAGAACUCUCAAUGCACAAAAAAUUAAACAGGAUGCUGUUCUCAAUUAAUUGAAGAAUAAGACACGUCAGGUCAAAGAAAAAAGGCUUUUAAAACAAGAUGAAAUCUAUAACGGUGCUCUUGAGGAUAUACUCUUAGGUCUUAAGAAUGAGCCUUAUCGUUGAGCCUAUGCAGUAAGAAGAAGUCAGAGAAGGAAACAAGAAAAUGUCAGACUUUCUCGAACAAUGGAUGAACUAGAUUUUUAGAAAGUUUUCUUAUAGGCAUGCAAUUAAAUUAAACCAAGUGCUUGUGUAAGUGACAGUAAUUUGGUUUGGAAAACACUUUUAGCUAGUCAACACAGGAAGUGUAUCAAAAUCUUCGAAAUCAGAUUGUACAAUAUUUUUUGAUACAUUUGUAGAGGAGGAGAAGAGCUGUUGUCCAAGAUGUAAAUUUAGGACAUCUAAUACUUUCUUAGUUUACAAUAUGUGUUGUUUGUUUUGGCAAUAGAUAAUAAUAAUGCAUUAUUCAUGGACCAUCAUAGGUUCUUUGAAUAAAGAUAUUACAUUGUUCCUCUGAAGCUUGAUGGAAAAUCUCUUGAAAGCAGCACCAUAACCACAGCUAAUAUUCUAAUAUGGUGAAACCUGGGUUUUGA
This is a long non-coding RNA of Limulus polyphemus (Atlantic horseshoe crab), 838 nucleotides long. RefSeq lists it as uncharacterized. The record is from RefSeq and is a predicted model, not a curated record. NCBI's taxonomy places the organism in Eukaryota, Metazoa, Arthropoda, Merostomata, Xiphosura, Limulidae. The transcript is spliced from 3 exons.